UUAUGGACAGAACUGUGGGGACGCAGAAGGAGAGCACGAGCCGGAAAUGGAAAAGCCGGUACAAGCGUAUAGCAGUCAUGCAGGCAAAACCGCAUGAAAAAUGUAAAGCGUUAUGUGGAUCGAACAUUAGUAGAGAAGCGUGUGAGCCAGCUGCCAAGAAAAGCCGCUAUUGCUUCAUAAGUACCCGUACCGUAAACCGACACAGGUGGAUGAGGAGAGAAUCCUAAGGCCGGCGGGAGAAGUGUUGUUAAGGAACUCGGCAAAAUGACUCCGUAACUUCGGGAGAAGGAGUGCCACAGAGAUGUGGCCGCAGAGAAAUGGCCCAAGCAACUGUUUAGCAAAAACACAGGUCUAUGCAAAACCGAAAGGUGAGGUAUAUGGGCUGACGCCUGCCCGGUGCUGGAAGGUUAAGAGGAGAGGUUAGAGCAAUCGAAGCUUUGAAUUUAAGCCCCAGUAAACGGCGGCCGUAACGAUAACGGUCCUAAGGUAGCGAAAUUCCUUGUCGGGUAAGUUCCGACCCGCACGAAAGGCGUAAUGAUUUGGGCACUGUCUCAACAACACACCCGGUGAAAUUGAAAUACCAGUGAAGAUGCUGGUUACCUGCGCCAGGACGGAAAGACCCCAUGGAGCUUUACUCCAGUUUGAUACUGGGAUUCGGUACUGUCUGUACAGGAUAGGUGGGAGGCUAGGAAAUGGUGACGCCAGUUGCCAUGGAGCCAACCUUGGGAUACCACCCUUACAGUACUGGGUUUCUAACCUGCAGCCGUGACCCGGCUGGGGGACAAUGUCUGACGGGGAGUUUGACUGGGGCGGUCGCCUCCGAAAGAGUAUCGGAGGCGCUCAAAGGUUCCCUCAGAACGGUUGGAAACCGUUCGAAGAGUGCAAAGGCAGAAGGGAGCUUGACUGCGACACCGACGGGUGGAGCAGAUACGAAAGUAGGACUUAGUGAUCCGGUGGUAUAAAGUGGGAUUGCCAUCGCUCAACGGAUAAAAGCUACCCUUGGGAUAACAGGCUUAUCACUCCCAAGAGUUCACAUCGACGGAGUGGUUUGGCACCUCGAUGUCGGCUCAUCGCAUCCUGGAGCUGUAGCAGGUUCCAAGGGUUGGGCUGUUCGCCCAUUAAAGCGGUACGCGAGCUGGGUUCAGAACGUCGUGAGACAGUUCGGUCCCUAUCCGGCGUGGGCGUAGGAUAUUUGAGAGGAGCUGUCCUUAGUACGAGAGGACCGGGAUGGACAAACCUCUGGUGUAUCUGUUGUUUUACCAAAGGCAUGGCAGAGUAGCCAAGUUUGGCAGGGAUAAACGCUGAAGGCAUCUAAGCGUGAAGCCCCCCUCAAGAUAAGAUAUCCCAUCUUCGGAGUAAGACCCCUUGAAGACUACAAGGUUGAUAGGCUUCAGGUGUAAGUGUGGUAACGCACUCAGCUGAGAAGUACUAAUAGGUCGAGGACUUAUU
RNAcentral lists this ribosomal RNA (1449 nucleotides) under metagenome. RNAcentral describes it as "bacterial LSU rRNA". It matches the Rfam family "Bacterial large subunit ribosomal RNA", at positions 1448 to 2925 of the family's 2925-position model. The record is from RNAcentral.